AUUGAACGCUGGCGGCAUGCCUAACACAUGCAAGUCGAACGGUAACAGGAAGAGGCUUCCUUCUUUGCUGACGAGGGGCGGGCGGGUGAGACAUGUCGAGGAAACACCCUGAUGAAGGGGGUUAACUACUGGAAACGGUACCUAAUACCGCAUAUCGUCUCAAGCGCAAAGAUCAAGACCUUCAGACCGCUUGCCUUCCGCUUUUACCUGAUUCCGGACGGUAUUAGCUAGUUGGUCAGGUAACGGCGGACCCAGGCAACGAUGCAUAGCAGAUCUGAGAGGAUGAUCAGCCACACUGGAACUGAGACACGGUCCAGACUCCUACGGGAGGCAGCAGUGGGGAAUAUUGCACAAUGGGCGAAAGCCUGAUGCAGCAACGCCGCGUGUAUGAAGAAGGUCUUCGGGUUGUAAAGUACUUUCAGCGGGGAGGAAGAGAGGAAAGUUAAUAUCUUUACUUCUUGACGGUACCCGAAGAAGAAGCCCCGGCUAACUACGUG
This 497-nucleotide ribosomal RNA is filed under the name uncultured bacterium. RNAcentral describes it as "partial 16S ribosomal RNA". It matches the Rfam family "Bacterial small subunit ribosomal RNA", at positions 30 to 507 of the family's 1533-position model. The record is from RNAcentral.